Molecule: long non-coding RNA, 775 nt
Organism: Drosophila teissieri
Lineage: Eukaryota; Metazoa; Arthropoda; Insecta; Diptera; Drosophilidae
Exons: 3
Source: RefSeq, a predicted model, not a curated record
CUGCCGCAUUGCCAGCCGCCGGCUGUCCGCAUUUCGAAUGCCACAGAGUUGCAACAAUUCCAACGAAUUCAAUUUGUCCCCGGGGAGAAAGGAGCACGGUGUAGCAGAUGGAGGCUGCAAGUGGAAGUGGAAGCAGGAGCAGGAACAGCGGAACUGAUGGCACCACUGCCUUUGACAAGUCGCUGCGCCAGCGUCACGUAAAAAGCCCCACAAUGCAGCUCCUUUUCCCGAUCCUGGCCUCCUUGCCGCCGCCUGACACGUGUGCAACAUGCAGCACAUGACAGACAACUUUGUUGCUGCCGCACUCAUUUUUGCGGGGUAUGUGGGGUAUACUAGACGCAAAUACAAAAGGGGAGGAAGCACUUCUACACUUCUACACCUAUUAAUCGGUACUUAACCCAAUGCAUCUUUGCCUUUUGAUUAUGAAGUUUACUACGUGGCAUGCCAAUUUAUUCACUCUUAAGCUAAAUAGUAGCAGCUGAAAAGUUUUCAUGGCUAAAACUUUUACGCGCACGAUUUGACAACCAAGCUGGUUGCUGCUGCUGGCAUCUUCAGCAGAACCUGGUUGCCACAUGUUUCCGGUUUCCCCUGCCCCAACCACUUCCCCUAAAAGGACUGCACACAAUGCAUUUGGUUGCCAAUAGUUGGGGGUUCCGCCAGAUCCCUGUUCACUCCAUAUAUUAAACACUUUUUAAUCGCAAUGCGGCAGCUCAGUGGGUUCGGUGACUGAAUCUAUAUAUAUGUGUGCUUAACACCGAAAAUUUUAAAAGCAAAG